RNAcentral lists this long non-coding RNA (1222 nucleotides) under Numida meleagris (helmeted guineafowl). Its description in RNAcentral is "lncRNA (ENSNMEG00000019316.1)". The record is from RNAcentral. Lineage: Eukaryota; Metazoa; Chordata; Aves; Galliformes; Numididae.
CUGCCCCACUCUCAUGAUAAUAAUCAGCUGUUAGUGGCAGUCAGUCAUUAUAUUGUGGGAAUGAGAAAGCAGCUGUAAUGUUUAAAUAUCAUGAUUAUAAGUACCACUGUUGUAAACAAUAUUAUGCGCGUCAUUCCUAAAAUUAAAUGCUGCGUUUAUAUGGGUCAUGCCUUUAGCAGUACUUCUCUCCAAGACAGAAGGUCUCUCUUCCCCAAGAAUUAACAUCCUCCUUCCAGCUGUGUUCUGCUUUCAAAAGAGAUGUGAAACCAUUCUAGAACUUGAGAUGUGAGUGAUUCCAAGGAGAAGAAGAAACUAGAAACUGCCUCUGCUGUGAUCAUUACAAAUGACUUGUGAAUGAAUACUGUGGGAUUCUUAACCCCUAUAUGACUUCAGCUGUUGUUCAAGCAUUAAUUCUACCAGUGCACUGAUUACUUUAUUCACAGUUUGCAGAGAGCUUAUUGAAGCCGGAAGUUUAAGUGAUUUAGUCAAGGCAGUACAUUUGACCAUGCCAGAGCUUGCAUUACAUCCCAGGAGUUCCUGAUUCUUACACUUAGACUCUUAUAAUACUGGGAAAAAGGACUACUAUAUUUAUAUGAUUUCAGCCAAUGAAGACUAAUCAGUUUUUCUAGCAAUAGAAAGUCUCCUUCAUCCUCCUUCCCUUUCCAAACUCCAAAGCAGUGCCAUGAAUACUGGGGCCCAGAGCUAAUGAAUGAAUAUUAAAGCUCUUCUAAGUGAGCGAGCAGAGCCGAUUAAUGAGGCAGCCCUUGUCUUUUAGUAAUUUCAUCUGACAGAGGUGACUUAGCAUUAAGAUAUCCCUAAAUAUCUCAGGGCCAUAUUAUCUGCUCUCACAAUCCUAAGUUUUGUGAUUACCAAUGAACUCAGUAUCUGCAAUCCUUACUCAAUAUAAGUUGUGAGGUGAAAAUGUGGUCACUGGUGUUCCUCUGACUUUGUUUAGCACUACACCCAGGGCUUUUUACUGCUGAGACUACCUUUGUCCCAUUCUUGCCUUUGGGUCCAAGGAGAAUCCAACUGGCAGUAUUUGUUUCCUGGCUGUUUGACUUGGAGAUACUGUUGAGAUUACUGAAACAUGAGUUUGUGCUACUGCAAUAUGUAAUAGAGUUGAAGUUAUUGUCAUAAAUGUAGCAUAUCGUAGCCUCAUGUGUUGCUACUGAUGAGAUUAAAUUGGUACUUUGGAAUUAGAUGCUAGCGCUUGGAAAUACUG